Molecule: ribosomal RNA, 253 nt
Filed under: uncultured bacterium
Lineage: Bacteria
Description: partial 16S ribosomal RNA
Rfam family: Bacterial small subunit ribosomal RNA
Source: RNAcentral
GACGUAGGGGACGAGCGUUGUCCGGAUUCAUUGGGCGUAAAGCGCGCGUAGGCGGCCACGCAAGUCGGGUGUGAAAUCCCGGAGCUCAACUCCGGAACUGCACUCGAAACUGCGCGGCUUGAGGUAGGUAGGGGAGAUCGGAAUUCCUGGUGUAGCGGUGGAAUGCGCAGAUAUCAGGAGGAACACCGAUGGCGAAGGCAGCUCGCUGGGACGGUACUGACGCUGAGGCGCGAAAGCGUGGGGAGCGAACAGG